GUGGUUUGUCGCGUCGUCUGUGAAAUCCGGGGCUUACUCCGGGCGUGCAGGCGAUACGGGCAUAACUUGAGUACUGUAGGGGUAACUGGAAUUCCUGGUGUAGCGGUGAAAUGCGCAGAUAUCAGGAGGAACACCGAUGGCGAAGGCAGGUUACUGGGCAGUUACUGACGCUGAGGAGCGAAAGCACGGGUAGCGAACAGGAUUAGAUACCCUGGUAAGUCCAUGCCCGUAAACGGUGGGCGCUAGGUGUGAGGGUCUUUUCACGACUUUCGUGCCGUAGCUAACGCAUUAAGCGCCCCGCCUGGGGAGUACGGCCGCAAGGCUAAAACUCAAAGGAAUUGACGGGGGCCCGCACAAGCGGCGGAGCAUGUGGAUUAAUUCGAUGCAACGCGAAGAACCUUACCUGGGCUUGACAUACACUGGAUCGGGCUAGAGAUAGUCUUUCCCUUUGUGGCUGGUGUACAUGUGGUGCAUGGUUGUCGUCAGCUCGUGUCGUGAGAUGUUGGGUUAAGUCCCGCAACGAGCGCAACCCUUGUCUUAUGUUGCCAGCAUUUGGUUGGGGACUCAUGAGAGACUGCCGGGGUCAACUCGGAGGAAGGUGGGGAUGACGUCAAAUCAUCAUGCCCCUUAUGUCCAGGGCUUCACACAUGCUACAAUGGUCGGUACAACGCGCAGCGACACUGUGAGGUGGAGCGAAUCGCUGAAAGCCGGCCGUAGUUCGGAUUGGGGUCUGCAACUCGACCCCAUGAAGUCGGAGUCGCUAG
This 764-nucleotide ribosomal RNA is filed under the name uncultured bacterium. RNAcentral's name for it is "bacterial SSU rRNA". It matches the Rfam family "Bacterial small subunit ribosomal RNA", at positions 575 to 1338 of the family's 1533-position model. The record is from RNAcentral.